GCUGGGCAGGGUCAGCUCAGAGUUUUUAUCACUGGGUGGGAUUUUUAUCACUGGGUGGGAUUCAAGGUCUGUGGAGGAAGUGGCCACCUUCUUCUUCCAGGCAGCCAUUUUUUUUCCUUGCCCUGGCUUGUUUGGCUUUUUCCCAAGGCUGCAUUUCAAAACAGCCCCUCCUGGCUGGCGGGGUGUGGGCACAGCUCUGUCACACACCCAGCAGCAGGGGCAGCUGGCCCUAGGCUUCCUGCCCCUCUCUGGGCCACGUGGAUUGGAGGAAAACCCCUCAAGCCUUCUUCAAAAUAGGGAACUGCUCUCCCUGCUUCCUGAAGGACAAGAACUAUCCCCAUGGCAACCAAGGGAUGAAGAGGCCACAUUAACCCUUCUGAGGGCAGGCCUGGUUGAGAGCCUCUUCACCAACCCCUCCUGGGUGUGGCACUAUACAGGCGACAAGGGGAGUCACAUCUCCCAAAGGACAUCCCCCAGUCUCACCACCAUUCCAAGAGAAAGGCAAGGCUGAGAUGUUAUACACAUUGGAUGAAGGGCAACGUUGAGGUGAACUCAGAGGGACGGACAGUACAAGGACUUCGGAUUUUAUUCUCCUAACAAUGCAGAGCCGUAGAGGAGGUAAAGCAGUACUGACUAGCACUGAAGGACUGAUGGUGGCAUAGCCAUUGUCCACCAG
RNAcentral lists this long non-coding RNA (676 nucleotides) under Homo sapiens (human). RNAcentral's name for it is "HSALNT0051228". The record is from RNAcentral. Lineage: Eukaryota; Metazoa; Chordata; Mammalia; Primates; Hominidae.